CUCUAUAAGUAACCUUAAUACGAUAGCUACUUGUUAGUGAUUGUUUCCAACAAGUCUUGCUAGCUCUCAUCUAUAUAUAAAGAAUUUAAACUCAGAUAAUUUUAUGCCAAGGAUCGAUUUACAGAUAAAUUAUCUUUGCUUAAGGAAUAUAGCUCCAGAAGCCAUAAUCAUGGAGAGCAUAGCUGGUCUACUUUUCAAGAACUCCAACUCUUGGUUGAGCCUAAGGAUCUCGUCCAUUUGGCUC
RNAcentral lists this long non-coding RNA (244 nucleotides) under Elaeis guineensis (African oil palm). RNAcentral's name for it is "long non-coding RNA (EGUI_LNC017210)". The record is from RNAcentral. Lineage: Eukaryota; Viridiplantae; Streptophyta; Magnoliopsida; Arecales; Arecaceae.